UACGUAGGGUGCAAGCGUUGUCCGGAAUUAUUGGGCGUAAAGAGCUCGUAGGCGGUCUGUCGCGUCGGCUGUGAAAACACGGGGCUCAACUCCGUGCCUGCAGUCGAUACGGGCAGACUAGAGUUCGGUAGGGGAGACUGGAAUUCCUGGUGUAGCGGUGAAAUGCGCAGAUAUCAGGAAGAACACCCGUGGCGAAGGCGGCUCUCUGGGACGGUACUGACGCUGAGACGCGAAAGCGUGGGGAGCGAACAGG
This 253-nucleotide ribosomal RNA is filed under the name uncultured bacterium. Its description in RNAcentral is "partial 16S ribosomal RNA". It matches the Rfam family "Bacterial small subunit ribosomal RNA", at positions 524 to 776 of the family's 1533-position model. The record is from RNAcentral.